CCUACGGGAGGCAGCAGUGAGGAAUAUUGGUCAAUGGGCGCGAGCCUGAACCAGCCAAGUAGCGUGAAGGAUGACUGCCCUACGGGUUGUAAACUUCUUUUAUAAAGGAAUAAAGUGAGGCCCGUGUGCCUUUUUGUAUGUACUUUAUGAAUAAGGAUCGUCUAACUCCGUGCCAGCAGCCUCGGUAAUCCGGAGGAUCCGAGCGUUAUCCGGAUUUGUUGGGUUUAAAGGGAGCGUAGAUGGGUUGUUAAGUCAGUUGUGAAAGUUUGCGGCUCAACCGUAAAAUUGAAAUUGAUACUGGCAGCCGUGAGUACAGUUGAGGUAGGCGGAAUUCGUGGUGUAGCGGUGAAAUGCUUAGAUAUAACGAAGAACUCCGAUUGCGAAGGCAGCCUACUAAACUGCCACUGACAUUGAUGCUCGAAAGUGUGGGUAUCAAACAGGAUUAGAUACCCUAGUAGUC
This 460-nucleotide ribosomal RNA is filed under the name uncultured bacterium. RNAcentral's name for it is "partial 16S ribosomal RNA". It matches the Rfam family "Bacterial small subunit ribosomal RNA", at positions 338 to 795 of the family's 1533-position model. The record is from RNAcentral.